UAUUUUGCUUUGAUGGGAAACCAGUAGUGCUUCUAUCACUGUUUCAGAAAACCGGCGGUCGCUGUGAGUCGGUACAAAUAGAAGAAUGAAUUACCUCCCUGAGCAUUCGUUGUGAACGAUUAAUAAGUAGCAGCGAACGGAUGAACCGUUAUUUUUUUAAGUGGAGGACCGAGUUUCUGGUUCUUAAUUUGGGUGGUACCGCGCUUUUUUAGCGUCCCUGCA
This 222-nucleotide non-coding RNA is filed under the name Bacillus sp. (in: firmicutes). RNAcentral's name for it is "Bacillus sp. T-box sequence". It matches the Rfam family "T-box leader". Rfam says of the family: Uncharged tRNA acts as the effector for transcription antitermination of genes in the T-box leader family. T-boxes are found upstream of many aminoacyl-tRNA synthetase genes and some amino acid biosynthetic genes usually in Gram-positive bacteria. The record is from RNAcentral. Lineage: Bacteria; Bacillati; Bacillota; Bacilli; Caryophanales; Bacillaceae.